RNAcentral lists this ribosomal RNA (453 nucleotides) under uncultured Adhaeribacter sp. Its description in RNAcentral is "bacterial SSU rRNA". It matches the Rfam family "Bacterial small subunit ribosomal RNA", at positions 341 to 792 of the family's 1533-position model. The record is from RNAcentral. Lineage: Bacteria; Pseudomonadati; Bacteroidota; Cytophagia; Cytophagales; Hymenobacteraceae.
ACGGGAGGCAGCAGUAGGGAAUAUUGGGCAAUGGACGCAAGUCUGACCCAGCCAUGCCGCGUGCAGGAUGAAGGCCUUCUGGGUUGUAAACUGCUUUUAUCUAGGAAGAAAACGCCCAUGCGUGGGAAACUGACGGUACUAGAUGAAUAAGCACCGGCUAACUCCGUGCCAGCAGCCGCGGUAAUACGGAGGGUGCAAGCGUUGUCCGGAUUUAUUGGGUUUAAAGGGUGCGUAGGCGGCCCGGUAAGUCAGUGGUGAAAGCCUCCAGCUCAACUGGAGAACUGCCAUUGAUACUGCCGGGCUUGAGUACAGACGAGGUUGGCGGAAUUGAUUGUGUAGCGGUGAAAUGCAUAGAUACAAUCAAGAACUCCGAUUGCGUAGGCAGCUAACUAGGCUGUAACUGACGCUGAGGCACGAAAGCGUGGGGAGCGAACAGGAUUAGAUACCCUGGUA